Molecule: ribosomal RNA, 453 nt
Filed under: uncultured Porphyromonadaceae bacterium
Lineage: Bacteria; Pseudomonadati; Bacteroidota; Bacteroidia; Bacteroidales; Porphyromonadaceae
Description: partial 16S ribosomal RNA
Rfam family: Bacterial small subunit ribosomal RNA
Source: RNAcentral
ACGGGAGGCAGCAGUGAGGAAUAUUGGUCAAUGGGCGGAAGCCUGAACCAGCCAAGUCGCGUGGAGGAUGAAGGUAUUAUGUAUUGUAAACUUCUUUAGACGUAGAGAAAUAAGGGGAUCGUGAUCCCUGAUGCUAGUAUACGUAGAAUAAGGAUCGGCUAACUCCGUGCCAGCAGCCGCGGUAAUACGGAGGAUCCGAGCGUUAUCCAGAUUUAUUGGGUUUAAAGGGUGCGCAGGCGGCCCUGUAAGUCAGCGGUUAAAUCGUGAGGCUCAACCUCAUCCCGCCGUUGAUACUGCAGGGCUUGAUUGCGGUCGAGGUUGGCGGAAUUCGUCGUGUAGCGGUGAAAUGCAUAGAUAUGACGAAGAACACCGAUUGCGUAGGCAGCUGACCAGACCGUAAAUGACGCUCAUGCACGAAAGUGCGGGGAUCGAACAGGAUUAGAUACCCUGGUA